RNAcentral lists this ribosomal RNA (253 nucleotides) under uncultured bacterium. RNAcentral describes it as "partial 16S ribosomal RNA". It matches the Rfam family "Bacterial small subunit ribosomal RNA", at positions 524 to 776 of the family's 1533-position model. The record is from RNAcentral.
UACAGAGGUCUCAAGCGUUGUUCGGAGUUACUGGGCGUAAAGGGUGUGUAGGCGGCCCCCUAAGUUUGGUGUGAAAUCUCCCGGCUCAACCGGGAGGGUGCGCCGAAGACUGGAGGGCUAGAGUGCGGGAUGGGAGAGUGGAAUUCCUGGUGUAGCGGUGAAAUGCGUAGAUAUCAGGAUGAACACCUGUGGUGUAGGCGGCUCUCUGGACCGCAACUGACGCUGAAACACGAAAGCGUGGGUAGCAAACAGG